Molecule: long non-coding RNA, 454 nt
Filed under: Theobroma cacao (cacao)
Lineage: Eukaryota; Viridiplantae; Streptophyta; Magnoliopsida; Malvales; Malvaceae
Description: long non-coding RNA (TCAC_LNC001889)
Source: RNAcentral
GGAGUUAUAAUUGAACUCAUGGUUGUCAAUUGGAAAAAGAUUUUGGGACUAUGGAUUGUAUUGGGUUAAUAUAAAGGAGCACGUGUGAUAAUGGUAAUAAGGGGCACACUUUGAUUAGAAUGAAUAGUGAUGGUUGUAAUUCACUUGGAGUGUAUAAAUUAAGCGUUGAGGUAAGAGUAAACUCAUACUUAUGUGCAUGAAGAUAAGAGACACUAUGUUAAUUUAGCUUGUUAUGCCCAUAUAAAAGUGGUGUUGGGAUUUUGAAAUAUUUUAUAUGUGAAUAUGUGUUGAAUAGGUACAGCAGCUUAGAGGGAACUGGUGUUGAUUUCAAUUAAGCGAUUGUGAGAUUUCAAGAAUUAAUUGGACCUAUUAUAGUUCAUGGAUAUAAGCACGUGGAUUAACUCGAGAGUGAAUGUCAUGACUCGAAACUCCCAUCUGGCCCGUAACAACCGCU